This 468-nucleotide ribosomal RNA is filed under the name uncultured bacterium. Its description in RNAcentral is "partial 16S ribosomal RNA". It matches the Rfam family "Bacterial small subunit ribosomal RNA", at positions 28 to 507 of the family's 1533-position model. The record is from RNAcentral.
GACGAACGCUGGCGGCGUGCUUAACACAUGCAAGUCGAACGGAAAGGCGCUGCUUUUGUGGGGUGCUCGAGUGGCGAACGGGUGAGUAACACGUGAGUAUCCUGCCCUUGACUUUGGGAUAACUUCAGGAAACUGGGGCUAAUACCGCAUAGGAUCUCCUGCUGCGUGGUGGUGGUUGGAAAGUUUCGGCGUUGGGGUAUCGACUCGCGGCUUAUCAGCUUGUUGGUGGGGUAGUUGCUUACCAAGGCUGUGACGGGUAGCCGGCCUGAGAGGGUGACCGGCCACAUUGGGACUGAGAGACGGCCCAGAGUCCUACGGGAGGCAGCAGUGGCGAAUGUUGCACGAUGGGAGGAAGCCUGAUGCAGCAACGCCGCGUGCGGGAUGACGGCCUUCGGGUUGUAAACCGCUUUCGCCUGUGACGAAGCGUGAGUGACGGUAAUGGGUAAAGAAGCACCGGCUAACUACGUG